AAAGGUAAGCUACUAAGAGCGAAUGGUGGAUGCCUUGACUGGUAGAGGCGAUGAAGGACGUACUAGACUGCGAUAAGCUAGGUGGAGCUGUCAAGAAGCUUUGAUGCCUAGAUUUCCGAAUGGGGCAACCCAGUAUAUAGAGAUAUAUACUACCAUAAUGGAGCGAACGAGGGGAAUUGAAACAUCUUAGUACCCUCAGGAAAAGAAAUCAAACGAGAUUGCGUCAGUAGCGGCGAGCGAAAGCGUAAGAGGGCAAACCCAGUGCUUGCACUGGGGGUUGUAGGACUGCAAUGUGCAAGAGGAAAGGUUAGCAGAACACUCUGGAAAGUGUAGCCAUAGAGGGUGAUAGUCCCGUAUGCAAAAACCUAACCUUAGCUAGCAGUAUCCUGAGUAGGGCGGGACACGAGAAAUCCUGUCUGAAGCUGGGUAGACCACUAUCCAACCCUAAAUACUACUACCAGAUCGAUAGCGAACAAGUACCGUGAGGGAAAGGUGAAAAGAACGGCGGUGAGCCGAGUGAAAUAGAACCUGAAACCAUUUGCUUACAAUCAUUCAGAGCACUAUGUAGCAAUACAGUGUGAUGGACUGCCUUUUGCAUAAUGAGCCUGCGAGUUGUGGUGUCUGGCAAGGUUAAGCUAACGCGAAGCCGUAGCGAAAGCGAGUCUGAAUAGGGCGCUAAGUCAGAUGCUGCAGACCCGAAACGAAGUGAUCUAUCCAUGAGCAGGUUGAAGCUAGUGUAAGAACUAGUGGAGGACCGAACCCGCUAGCGUUGAAAAGCUAUGGGAUGACUUGUGGAUAGGGGUGAAAGGCCAAUCAAACUUCGUGAUAGCUGGUUCUCUCCGAAAUAUAUUU
RNAcentral lists this ribosomal RNA (852 nucleotides) under Campylobacter upsaliensis. Its description in RNAcentral is "partial 23S ribosomal RNA". It matches the Rfam family "Bacterial large subunit ribosomal RNA", at positions 1 to 871 of the family's 2925-position model. The record is from RNAcentral. Lineage: Bacteria; Pseudomonadati; Campylobacterota; Epsilonproteobacteria; Campylobacterales; Campylobacteraceae.